Molecule: long non-coding RNA, 1654 nt
Filed under: Lytechinus variegatus (green sea urchin)
Lineage: Eukaryota; Metazoa; Echinodermata; Echinoidea; Temnopleuroida; Toxopneustidae
Description: uncharacterized LOC121409039, transcript variant X2
Source: RNAcentral
CCUCAUUUUUGGGGAAAAUGUGAAAAUGGGCAUGUGUGGUGCAAAACUGAUUUUUAAAACACUUCUACAGGAAAAUUCUAGGGAUCAGGCAAAGGUUCAGGGUCAUAAUUAUGUUAUUUUUAUCAUAUAUUUUCAAAUUCUGAUGGUGAUUUAUAUACUUUUUGUGGAUAUAUUGAGAAAAUCAACUUUUCAUUUUUCUGAUCUCUGAAAAUUUAUACCCCGCUUUGUACACAAUUAUAUAUAGGAAGCAUUGAAUGCAUGCUAUUUUUUAAAUCGAUCUAACACAAAACUUACUUAUUCAAAAAGUAUUGUCUUUAUUUCAAAAAAUAGAAAAAGAUUCUUAGUUUCCAUUCCUUUGCAAUUCCAUAAUGCAAAAAGUGGAUAAAAUGGUGAAAUUCUACUACCGAAAACAUAUAUAUUUGCCUAUAUUUCUUUUAUUUACUUUAUGUUAGAGCGCCCUCUACUGACCACAAUCCACAAACUAACUAUACAACAACUAUUACGAAACGGUAAACAAAUUUGGUGCAUCGGGGUUUUUUUUGGCUCAAAGUUAUACUCCUCGUUUACUUGGCACGAUUACCGUUUGUUUUUAUUGAUUAUGGUUUUAUACAUACGCAUUCUGAGAUGUUCGAACUUGCCUUUGAAGAAUUUUCAGUUCGAACUGUGCUGUGAUCAGGUGAUCGGAUAUUUAACGUACCGAUAACUGAGACGGAAAUAGCAUGAGAAGGCAGCCGAAGCUCCGGGCAUGAUCGAGAUGUUGGUGCAUACAGUGGUAAUGAAAAGAAAAUUGGCAACCAGUCAUCUACAAGACGCUGCAUUCAUAUAUACUGUAUGGAAAGGAACAAGAAAAUGGAGGUAGUUUGUCACCUUAAUUGAAGUGCAGUCGACAUAUAGCCGAGUUUACAGUUGACAGUUUAUAUCUUAUGGGUAGAGAAUUUGAACUAAUAAGGAAAGUCCCUGCAGGAAACAAAUCAGGUAUGAUGGCCGUGAUGAGAUAGUGCUGAAAUCUGCGACUAUUUCAAGCAGUCUUGCCUGUCCAGCAUUUACAGACAUGACAUUUGCAGCUCUAUCCAUAGUCAGUGUAGUGAUGGAACCCAUUCAUUUAUACACCUUUUCUGCAUAUGUUUGAAGCAAGAAGCACCUGUUGGACAGAACACAGUAAGCCUGUAAUGUCAAGGGCUAUGAGAGUUGAUUCUUCCAUCACAGCACUGCACCUAGAGGUUGUAACCUUUCUGGCAGACCACACUUUCUACUCGACACCUUUCUUCCAUCACAGCACUGCACCUAGAGGUUGCAACCUUUCUGGCAGACCACACUUUCUACUCGACACCUUGUCUGCACAUGUGUUAAGCAAGAAGCACCUGUUGGACAGAACACAGUAAGCCUGUAAUGUCAAGGGCUAUGAGAGUUGAUUCUUCCAUCACAGCACUGCACCUAGAGGUUGUAACCUUUCUGGCAGACCACACUUUCUACUCGUGUCAGUUUCACAUACAUACUCAACCAUGAGGGAGAUAUACCUUGCAGACAAUCAACUGAUGCAAUUCUGGUUGAUCUUACAAAUAUCAUUAUACAGGUAGAAGUUAAAGGAGAAUGAAACCAUUGGAACAAGAUAGCUUGUGUGAAAACAGAAAAAGCAAAGAAACAGAUCAACGAA